Non-coding RNA from Melampsora americana, 89 nucleotides. NCBI's taxonomy places the organism in Eukaryota, Fungi, Basidiomycota, Pucciniomycetes, Pucciniales, Melampsoraceae. The record is from the annotation of a GenBank genome assembly.
GCCCGGCUAGCUCAGUUGGUAGAGCAUUCGACUCUUAGGAGUUUCCAGCUGCGAUCGAAUUGUCGUGGGUUCGAGCCCCACGUUGGGCG